CUCCUGCCCUGCCCCCCCAAACGCCCGGGGCCCCAACACGCGCUGCGAGUGUGCGCAGCUGCCCCAAGUGCUUCAGCGUCCUGGAGGACGUGUGGGCCCUGUACCGCGCCUGCCGCAGCGAGGAGCUCAUCACCUCCGUGCAGGCCUUCCUCGGCCGGUACCACCGGGCCUUCUCGGCCUGCGACCCCGCCGGCGGCGAGCUGCCCGCGGGCGGCCCCGCGUCCGCCUGCUACGUCUGCGGGGCCGAGCUGGGCCCCGGGAGGGAGUUUCAGCUCAACGUGAACCCCUCCGGCCGCCUGGGCGAGAAGGAGCCCUUCUUCCCCUUUCUGACCGUCUACCCGCCCGCCCCGCGCGCCAGGCCCGCCGAUGCCACCGGCCUGGUAGCCGCCUGCGCGCUCUGCUACCACGACCUGCUGGGCCAGUGGCUGCGGCACGAGGCCCGGGGCGCCCACGCCGCCGUCAGCGCCUGGUCGCGGCAGUACCACGUGGACACGUUCGUGUGCUUCUUCUGCCAGCAGGAGAAGAGGCGCCGCCUCGGGCUGAGGGCCGUGCGCGUGGCCCGGCUGCCCCUCUUUCUCCACGCCCUGCGCGCCAGCCACAGCCUGCUGGUGGACGACGGGCGGCAGUUGACCAUUGGUGCCUGCGUGGAGUGCGGGACCCUGGUGUGUGCCGGCCAAGGGCCGAACCGCCAGGGACCCGUCGGCUGGAGCUCCCCGGCGGCAGCGGCGACGAAGGCCACCUCGGCAUCUCUGGAGGCGUCCGCAGCCGUCCCCCCUCCCACCCGGGAGCCCGAGUCCCGGCCGGGCGCCCCAGGAGAGGGCCUGUCCAGAGCCCCCAGGACCGUCCAGGAGCAGGGGCCAGCGCAGUGCCAGAGGAGCAGCGACGGGGACGGACCGGAGCACCUGGGCCCAGGUAGACGCCAGCGCUCUCCCUACCUGGGAGCGGGGGUGGGACCACGCGGCCCGAGCUUGGCCCCGGCGCUGCCACGUUCCAGGAAGGAGGCCGGCACCGCCGCCUCCCCCGCCCCGGGCCUGGCUUCUGUUCCCUGAUCCUCAGGGGCCCGAGCUGUGGCUUAACCCACUUCCCCGCUCACCGCGCCGCUCGCGCCUGCUUCGCGGAUGGGCUUGGCUUGUGGCUUGUGCCAACGUUCCGCCGCGUUCGUGGUUAAACCAAGGGAAUGAACCCUCGCGGACCCACUGCCCGACCCAAGAACUCAAACCUCACGCCGUCCCUGUUGCCCCUGGAGGCAGCCCCUUCUUCAGUUUGCUUUAAAAAUAAAAGGUCGAUCACGCCCAUGUCAGCCUAAA
RNAcentral lists this long non-coding RNA (1307 nucleotides) under Dasypus novemcinctus (nine-banded armadillo). RNAcentral describes it as "lncRNA (ENSDNOG00000051520.1)". The record is from RNAcentral. Lineage: Eukaryota; Metazoa; Chordata; Mammalia; Cingulata; Dasypodidae.